GUAAGAACCUAUGGGCAAUCGGGGCUAUCAACAUGAAUCUAAGAAUAUUU
RNAcentral lists this small RNA (50 nucleotides) under Sinorhizobium meliloti 2011. Its description in RNAcentral is "putative ncRNA". The record is from RNAcentral. Lineage: Bacteria; Pseudomonadati; Pseudomonadota; Alphaproteobacteria; Hyphomicrobiales; Rhizobiaceae.